This 253-nucleotide ribosomal RNA is filed under the name uncultured bacterium. RNAcentral's name for it is "partial 16S ribosomal RNA". It matches the Rfam family "Bacterial small subunit ribosomal RNA", at positions 335 to 584 of the family's 1533-position model. The record is from RNAcentral.
CACCCUACGGGACGCAGCAGUGAGGAAUAUUGGUCAAUGGGCGGAAGCCUGAACCAGCCAAGUCGCGUGAGGGAUUAAGGCCCUGCGGGUCGUAAACCUCUUUUGCCGGGGAGCAGUGGUCCGGACGCGUCCGGACCGGGAGAGUACCCGGAGAAAAAGCAUCGGCUAACUCCGUGCCAGCAGCCGCGGUAAUACGGAGGAUGCGAGCGUUAUCCGGAUUUAUUGGGUUUAAAGGGUGCGCAGGCGGAGGCAC